ACUUAAAUAAUUUAAAAAAAAAAAUAUUGAUUUGUGGAGUCAAAAAUAUGAAUUUCAUUUUAAGUC
This 66-nucleotide transfer RNA is filed under the name Hebomoia glaucippe. RNAcentral describes it as "tRNA-His". The record is from RNAcentral. Lineage: Eukaryota; Metazoa; Arthropoda; Insecta; Lepidoptera; Pieridae.